UCUGCGAUGAUGAGAAGCGCAGGGGUACGGACCUCAGCCAGUGAUGGGGGCUGAGUGCUGCUGCAGUCGCUCUGAUAAGAGGACGUGUGGUUCACUGUCAGACGAGCAGCAGCACGAUACAGACGCUUGUCUGAGCGGA
Molecule: small nucleolar RNA, 139 nt
Organism: Scomber scombrus (Atlantic mackerel)
Lineage: Eukaryota; Metazoa; Chordata; Actinopteri; Scombriformes; Scombridae
Product: small nucleolar RNA SNORD94
Exons: 1
Source: RefSeq, a predicted model, not a curated record